AGAGGGNNCGGCCCUCGGCAUACUGCUCUCUAACACGUGGACAACCUACCCUCAGGUGGGGGAUAAUCUCGGGAAACUGAGGAUAAUACCCCAUAGAUAUCCGAUGCUGGAAUGCCUGGAUGUUUAAAGCCCUGGCGCCUGAGGAUGGGUCUGCGGCCUAUCAGGUAGUAGUGAGUGUAACGAACUCACUAGCCUACGACGGGUACGGGCCUUGAGAGAGGUAACCCGGAGAUGGACUCUGAGACACGAGUCCAGGCCCUACGGGGCGCAGCAGGCGCGAAAACUUCGCAAUGUGGGAAACCGCGACGAGGGAAUCCCGAGUGCCUAUACGUUUGUAUAGGCUGUUUAUGUGCCUAAAAAGCACGUAGAGUAAGAGCUGGGUAAGACCGGUGCCAGCCGCCGCGGUAAUACCGGCAGCUCGAGUGGUGAUCGUUAUUAUUGGGCCUAAAGCGUCCGUAGCCGGUUGAGUAAAUCCCUGGGUAAAUCGACGGGCUCANCCCGUCGACUUCCGGGGANACUGCUCGACUUGGGACCGGGAGAGGUUGAGGUACUCNAGGGUAGGGUGAAAUCCUGUAUCCCUGGAGACUACCUGUGGCGAAGCGUCCACUAAACG
This 613-nucleotide ribosomal RNA is filed under the name uncultured archaeon. Its description in RNAcentral is "bacterial SSU rRNA". It matches the Rfam family "Archaeal small subunit ribosomal RNA", at positions 61 to 687 of the family's 1478-position model. The record is from RNAcentral.